RNAcentral lists this long non-coding RNA (361 nucleotides) under Setaria viridis. RNAcentral describes it as "long non-coding RNA (SVIR_LNC009248)". The record is from RNAcentral. Lineage: Eukaryota; Viridiplantae; Streptophyta; Magnoliopsida; Poales; Poaceae.
ACAUGUGGUGUGAGUCAAUUUUAGUUCAUUAAUUUCACCAAGCAAAGACCCACAAGAAACACAUGGUAAAGAGGCAUUUAACUUCAACAAAGCAAUUUCAUCUCUAGCCUGAUCAAGAUCAUUAUUUAAAGCUACGCAAGAAUUGCAAGGCAUAGAGGCAUUGAAUUUCAACAAGUCAUUUUCACAUUUCAUGCAAUCAAGAGAAGAGUUCAAUUCAUCAUUCUUUCUAAGCAAGGCAUCACAAGAAUUGCAAGGAUUUAAAGCAUGUGACUUCCAAUGAGCAAUUCCACAUUUCAACCUAGCAAGAGAACAUUUCAUCUUCUCAUUCUUCCUACGCAAAGCAUCACAAAGCUCUAUGUUU